This 440-nucleotide ribosomal RNA is filed under the name uncultured bacterium. Its description in RNAcentral is "partial 16S ribosomal RNA". It matches the Rfam family "Bacterial small subunit ribosomal RNA", at positions 338 to 795 of the family's 1533-position model. The record is from RNAcentral.
CCUACGGGUGGCAGCAGUAGGGAAUAUUGCACAAUGGGGGAAACCCUGAUGCAGCGACGCCGCGUGAGUGAAGAAGUAUUUCGGUACGUAAAGCUCUAUCAGCAGGGAAGAAAAUGACGGUACCUGACUAAGAAGCCCCGGCUAACUACGUGCCAGCAGCCGCGGUAAUACGUAGGGGGCAAGCGUUAUCCGGAUUUACUGGGUGUAAAGGGAGCGUAGACGGCAGCGCAAGUCUGGAGUGAAAUCCCAUGGCUUAACCAUGGAACUGCUUUGGAAACUGUGCAGCUAGAGUGCAGGAGAGGUAAGCGGAAUUCCGAGUGUAGCGGUGAAAUGCGUAGAUAUUAGGAGGAACACCAGUGGCGAAGGCGGCUUACUGGACUGUAACUGACGUUGAGGCUCGAAAGCGUGGGGAGCAAACAGGAUUAGAUACCCCUGUAGUC